This 452-nucleotide ribosomal RNA is filed under the name Terrahaemophilus aromaticivorans. RNAcentral describes it as "bacterial SSU rRNA". It matches the Rfam family "Bacterial small subunit ribosomal RNA", at positions 30 to 476 of the family's 1533-position model. Lineage: Bacteria; Pseudomonadati; Pseudomonadota; Gammaproteobacteria; Pasteurellales; Pasteurellaceae. The record is from RNAcentral.
AUUGAACGCUGGCGGCAGGCUUAACACAUGCAAGUCGAACGGUAACAUGAAGAAGCUUGCUUCUUUGAUGACGAGUGGCGGACGGGUGAGUAAUGCUUGGGAAUCUAGCUUAUGGAGGGGGAUAACUACGGGAAACUGUAGCUAAUACCGCGUAGUAUCGAGAGAUGAAAGUGUGGGACCUUCGGGCCACAUACCAUAGGAUGAGCCCAAGUGGGAUUAGGUAGUUGGUGAGGUAAAGGCUCACCAAGCCGACGAUCUCUAGCUGGUCUGAGAGGAUGACCAGCCACACUGGGACUGAGACACGGCCCAGACUCCUACGGGAGGCAGCAGUGGGGAAUAUUGCGCAAUGGGGGCAACCCUGACGCAGCCAUGCCGCGUGAAUGAAGAAGGCCUUCGGGUUGUAAAGUUCUUUCGGUAGCGAGGAAGGCAUUUAGUUUAAUAGACUAGGUGAU